CGGCGCGCGGCGCGCGGGGCGGGGCGGGGCCGGCGCUGGGUCAGUGCGCGCGGGCUGCGCGGGGCCGGGGCCGGAGUGGCGGCGCGCUGAGAUUUCUGCUCAUCGUUGAAAGAUGGGAGAGAUAGAAGGGACAUACAGAGUCCUGCAGACUCCCGGCUCUCGUUUGGGCGUCCAGAAGACCACGGGAGUGAGCACCUUGGAGCCGGGACAGAACCUUUCCACUGCAAUGGCAUCGUCACCUGCCAAAACGCACGAGCGGGACCUGCUGAUCAAAAUAAAGAUGCUGGACAACACAGUGGAAGUACUUGACAUUGAGUCAAAAUAUUAUGGCCAGACGUUGUUGACAGAAGUUUACAAGCAUCUGAAUUUGAUCGAAUCAGACUACUUUGGGAUUGAGUUCCAGAACAUCCAGUCAUAUUGGAUUUGGCUGGAACCUAUGAAACCUGUUAUUAAACAAGUACGGAGACCAAAGACUACAAUGCUUCGUCUAGCGGUCAAGUUUUUCCCUCCAGACCCGGGUCAGCUGCAAGAGGAAUAUACCAGGUACCUGUUUGCGUUGCAAAUCAAGAGGGACCUGGCGGAGGAACGUCUGACCUGCAGCGACAACACGGCCGCCCUGCUGGUCUCGCACCUCCUGCAGUCUGAAAUAGGGGAUUUUGAUGAAUCAGAGGAUCGAGAACACCUUAAAACAAACCAGUAUUUGCCAAACCAGGGAAGAAUUGAAGGAAAGAUUCUGGAGUUCCACAGGAAGCAUGUGGGUCAAACUCCUGCUGAAUCCGACUUCCAAGUGCUUGAAAUUGCUCGGAAACUGGAGAUGUACGGCAUCCGAUUUCACCUUGCGUCUGACCGCGAGGGCACCAAAAUCAACCUGGCUGUGUCCCACAUGGGCGUGCUGGUGUUCCAGGGUAACACGAAAAUCAACACCUUCAACUGGUCAAAGGUCCGUAAACUAAGCUUCAAGAGGAAAAGAUUCCUUAUUAAACUCCACCCAGAGGUCUGUGGCCUUUAUCAAGAUACACUGGAGUUUCUUUUGGGAAGUAGAGAUGAGUGUAAAAACUUCUGGAAAAUCUGUGUUGAAUAUCACACCUUCUUUAGGCUCUUUGAUCAGCCAAAGCCAAAGGCUAAAGCCGUGUUCUUCACCAGAGGCUCAUCAUUCAGAUACAGUGGCCGAACACAGAAGCAACUGGUGGAUUAUAUAAAGGACAGUGGGAUGAAGAAAACCCCGUAUGAAAGGAGGCACAGCAAAGCCAGGACGUCCACUCGCACUCCCAACACCGACGUGCCAAAGCAGAGUGUCCCAUUCCCUGAGGGCUUGAGAGCCCCAGGGUCUCCUGCCUCAGCAGCCACCUCCUUCCACUCAGUUCACUCAUCAGCUGCUCCUGCUCCUGUCCGGCCCAUCUUUGCAGAAACCAGCCCUUCCUCUGUGGACCCCCGCACGACGUACACGAGGGUUCCAGAAAAACCAACUGCGGUGCCAGCAGAAGAAGCGGGGAGGAAAGCGACGCAGCAGCCUGGAUCUCCUGUGCUCCAAGGGCUCCCAGAGGAACAUGCUCCGCUCGCUGCCCUCGUGCUCAAGAGUCCCCUGGGCCUGACCCCGGCGUUCCAGGUGAACUUGAACGCAGCUGGCCAGGGUUCAUCUCCUCUUCUGAGUCCUGUCCUCAGCGACGCUGGCGGUGCCAGGAUGGAAGAGGAUGAGGAAAUGAAGCGUAAGCGCUAUCCAACUGACAAGGCGUACUUCAUAGCAAAGGAGAUCCUUGCUACAGAACGGACAUAUUUAAAGGACUUGGAAGUUAUUACAGUGUGGUUUCGCAGCGCGGUCAUCAAGGAGAACGCUAUGCCAGAGGGCCUGAUGACGUUACUCUUCUCUAACAUAGACCCAAUUUAUGAGUUUCAUCGAGGCUUUCUGAAAGAGAUUGAGCAAAGGCUAUCGCUCUGGGAAGGAAAAACCAACGCUCACGUGAAAGGAGAUUAUCAACGCAUUGGAGAUGUCAUGCUCAGGAAUAUGCGCACUCUGAAGGAGUUCACUAAUUACCUGCAGAAACAUGACGAGGUCCUGACAGAACUGGAGAAAGCAACUAAGCGCCUGAAGAAGCUGGAGAUGGUUUAUAAGGAGUUUGAACUGCAGAAGGUUUGCUACCUGCCCCUCAACACGUUCCUGCUCAAACCCAUCCAGAGGCUGAUGCACUACAAGCUGGUGCUGGGGCGGCUCUGCAAGCACUACACAGCUGAGCACCGCGACUUCGCCGACUGCCGCAAUGCGCUCAGGGAGGUCACCGAAAUGACGGCUCAGCUGCAGCACAGUCUCAUCCGCCUGGAGAACUUCCAGAAGCUGAGCGAGCUGCAGCACGACCUCAUUGGGAUAGACAACCUCACGGCACCCGGCAGGGAGUUCAUCCGGGAAGGCUGCUUGUACAAGCUCACUAAGAAGGGUCUGCAGCAGCGGAUGUUCUUCCUGUUCUCAGAUAUGUUGCUGUACACGAGCAAAGGGGUUACAGGGACGAAUCAAUUCAAAAUUCAUGGACAUCUUCCUCUGCACGGCAUGUUGGUGGAGGAGAGUGAGAACGAAUGGGCUGUCCCACACUGCUUCACCAUCUAUUCAGCACAAAAAACCAUCGUGGUGGCAGCAAGUACCCGCCUGGAGAUGGGCAAGUGGAUGGAGGACCUCAACGUGGCAAUUGAAAUGGCCAAGAAAUCUACUGAGAAAUCUGACAUGCUGCUGGAAAACUCCGUGUGCAACCGCUCCAACAGAUCCUCUGAUGAGGUCUCUCUAGAACAGGAGUCCGAAGAUGACAUACACUCUUCUCGUAGCUCCCUGGACAGGCAGAGCCACCACCGUGCCAACACCACCAUGCACGUGUGCUGGUACCGCAACACCAGCGUCUCCAUGACUGACCACAGUGUGGCUGUCGAGAGCUUCCUCCUCGCUAUUUGCUGGGCCAGGCCCAACGGCCCAACACAAUCACCCAUGUUUGUUGGUACCGGAACCACAGCCUGUCCCUGUCUGAUUACCUGUGCAUGAUCCAGAACCAGCUCUCUGGAUACUUGCUGAGGAAGUUCAAGAACAGCAAUGGCUGGCAGAAACUGUGGGUCGUCUUCACCAACUUCUGCUUGUUCUUCUACAAAACACACCAGGACGAUUUUCCCCUGGCCAGUCUCCCGCUGCUGGGCUACGUAGUCAGCUCCCCUGCCGAGGCCGACGGCAUCCAGAAGGAUUACGUCUUCAAGCUGCAGUUCAAGUCCCAUGUGUAUUUCUUCAGGGCUGAGAGCAAAUACACCUUUGAGAGGUGGAUGGAGGUGAUCAAGAGAGCCACCAGCUCUCCGGCCAGGUCCAGCCUGCAGCUGCCAAAGGAUGACAAGGACAGUCACAGCGACUGAAACGGCAGAGCUGGGUCUCUGUCGACAUCCGCGGAAGAGGCAGGUGGAACCAGGAGUCUCUGGACUUGAUAAAGCAAAGAACCAGGAAGCUCAUUUCCACCUGGGAUGGAGAUGGGAGCGAGGGAGUUGCACCCGGGGAUCACUUCCAUUCGCAGCGCUGCGGAAGAGGGUCAAGUCUGUUCCAGCUGAACCUACUUAGAGAGAACCUAACAACCGCAGAGCUCCGGUGUGCACACAUCGCGGAAGGUUUAUGUUCCAGUUGUACCUGUACAGUAACACCCUUUUGCUUGCCCUGAAGGCAAAUGCCACCUCAUUUUUACAUUUUACUGGAUGGUCAGCAUAUACGGGAGAAAAAUAGCAGCUGUCUGGUGUGACGGGCUCCCAGCUGCUGUGCCAGGGCUCGCUGCCACCCAGCCGGUCUCUCCCCGCUGCUCGGCACGGCCACUGUGUCACUGCCGUUAACGUCCUGCUGGCACCAUCGGCUUCGACCAGCGGCACCCACAGACAUACUGGCUUAAACACCAUUCAUUUUGAACUGAAACUGCAGCUCUCCUAGAACAACUGCUCUUCAGAACUGCCGUGGAACGCUCUGCUAAGCUGUGGAGGUUUCGGUGUAUGUGGGUUGGUACAGGUAGGGUGUGUGGUUUUUCCUCAGAACUCAGCUACAGCACGUGCGAGAGGGUCGGUCGCUAUUCUCAUAUCACAGCUCCAGAGUUUCUGUAUCCUGUAGUAGGCGUUACUUAAGGCAUGGGAUGGCAAACGCGUUCUCCACCCCUACAUGGGUGAUGUUCUCAAGGCAUUUAGGCAAUACAGGAGAACAAACUUCUCUGAAAGUCACUGUUCCUUGUGCUUGUAUCACGCGAAGACUUCUGAAAAUCCCUAUUCAUUAAAUUUGGGGUGGGAUCCAUCUUCUGUUUCUCAUGAAGGUGUAAAAGUCACUGGAUUCCAGAUGGAGCAUUACUGUCUGUGGACUCCAUUAAAUCUCUGCAUUAAAUCCAAAAUCCCUGCAGUUCGUUCUGUUUUUCUCAAGCUGUCACCUUUGGUUCUCCGCGGAAGGACUGCCGUACGCUGAGCACCGCAGAGGCUGGUGCACGUGGCUCGGAUGGGCUCUGGGGACUCUGCUUUCAUAUUAGAUAGAAAAGUGUUUGUGUACUAGGAGAAGGAACAAUGAAGUGGUGUAGCGAAAGAAAAAGGCAAGUGCUGCGUGUAGUGAGGACGGGCAGUGUGGAGAUCCCGGGAACGCGGGAGGUGCCGAGACCAGCGUGUUAUCCCCGGGGCCGGUUCGGGUGCUGGUCCAGAGCACGCGCGGGAUGACACGGAGGGACGUCCAGGGAGAUUGUCCAGACCGCUCGCUUGGCCUUUGCGUCACAGAGAAGACGAGUGACUGCAGAUCCAGCCUUCACUACCACUGUCACAAUGACCGGUGCCCCAGCCAAGUUAAAUGUACUUAAUUUAUUAGUGAUGUCAUUUUUUUUUUUUAAAUUGUUGUAGGUAUACACAUGUAGAUUGACUACAUCAUGUUAUAACACAGCUGCAUAUGACUGUUGAAAGUAAAUAGCAUCUUGGUAUAAAA
Columba livia (rock pigeon) is the source of this 4948-nucleotide RNA transcript. It is a transcript of the gene named FERM, ARH/RhoGEF and pleckstrin domain protein 2, with no coding region annotated. The record is from RefSeq and is a predicted model, not a curated record. Lineage: Eukaryota; Metazoa; Chordata; Aves; Columbiformes; Columbidae. The transcript has 28 exons.